GUGCUCUCCUCCAUGCCAAUCUUCUUGCUGACGGCUUUAAAGGAUGACAAAGGCAUCCUCAAGGCCUUUGCGAAGACCAGUCGCGGCAUGCUCUGGGCCUGUAAGGAGACGGUUAGUGGAGGGAAAUGCAAAGUCAAGUGGCAAAAGGUUUGCCGCCCCAAGGAGCUCGGUGGUUUGGGGGUUUUGGACCUGGAGAGGUUCUCCCGGGCCCUAAGGCUUCGCUGGUUAUGGUAUGAGUGGAAGGCUCCUGAGAACCCAUGGGUGGGCUCUGAAACCCCCAACGACGCCUCCGACCUUGACCUCUUC
RNAcentral lists this ribosomal RNA (306 nucleotides) under Triticum aestivum (bread wheat). RNAcentral describes it as "partial small subunit ribosomal RNA". The record is from RNAcentral. Lineage: Eukaryota; Viridiplantae; Streptophyta; Magnoliopsida; Poales; Poaceae.